GUCCUUGUUGAUUAGUGGUUAAAAUUGGGUUAAAUCAUCUGAUGUACACAUCAGGCUCCGGAGGUUCGAAUCCUCCCUAGGACA
RNAcentral lists this transfer RNA (84 nucleotides) under Laccaria amethystina LaAM-08-1. The record is from Rfam by way of RNAcentral. Lineage: Eukaryota; Fungi; Basidiomycota; Agaricomycetes; Agaricales; Hydnangiaceae.